This 239-nucleotide unclassified non-coding RNA is filed under the name Sulcaria spiralifera. RNAcentral describes it as "partial contains 5.8S ribosomal RNA, internal transcribed spacer 2, and large subunit ribosomal RNA". The record is from RNAcentral. Lineage: Eukaryota; Fungi; Ascomycota; Lecanoromycetes; Lecanorales; Parmeliaceae.
CGCACAUUGCGCCCCUCGGCAUUCCGGGGGGCAUGCCUGUUCGAGCGUCAUUGCAACCCUCAAGCGUAGCUUGGUCUUGGGUCACACCCUCCCCGGGUGGACUCGAAAAACAGCGGCGGUCCGGGGGACUCCGAGCGCAGUCAAUUUUCAUCGCUUCGCAAGUCCUUUCGGCCCGGCCCGAAACAUUUAUAUUAUCAAUGAUUGACCUCGGAUCAGGUAGGGAUACCCGCUGAACUUAA